GCGCCUGGCGACGACAACAACAACAGGUAUCCUCCCGGCUCGUUUGCAGACGAUUCGUCACCCGAAGCAGCCCUGGACUGUAUUUAACCUGCACCCUUUACAGUCCGCGCAGACUUCGAGACGUUUGGUGGCACCCCCUGCUUCGGACGUCUCUUCCUUCUGCCUUCCAUCCAACCUUCGGCCUUAAGUUAUUGGAGGCAGUCACACAGUGGAAAGAACGGAGAACACAGGCAGAGAGGAAGAAGGUAAAAAGUUGGAUCCUUUUGUGUCUAGUAGGCCCAGCAAGCUGAUGAACAGAGACAUCUGCAUCCACACAUGGCCAUGUUCUUAUUAUUUGGAACCUGAAAAACGAUGGAUUCCUGGCAAGCUUUCAUUGACUUCUGUUUUGCUAAAAUUUUUGGCUGAUAAGAAUGGAGAACUACUGGUCAGCUUCCCCCUUUCAAGCAUCAGUGAGAUUAAAAAAGAAUCCUCUCACUUCAUCUUCAGCUCUAUCACUAUUCUAGAGAAGGACCACAUUAAGCACUGGUUCAGUUCCUUCCAGCCCAGCCGAAAUGUGGUCUUCAACAUCAUUGAGCAUUUCUGGAGGGAGUUGCUGUUGUCUCACCCAGGAGCCCAGGCAUCUUCUCCCCAGAUGACCAAGGGUAAAGAACUGACAGGCUUAAUGGCCUGUUCCCAGAAACGGUUAGAAGAUACGGCAAAAGUCCUUCACCAUCAGGGUGAGCAAUUUGAUAACAUCAUGAAAGGACUGGACAAGAUUGAAUCAGAUAUGGAUGUAGCUGACAGGUUGCUCACAGAACUUGAAUCUCCUUCUUGGUGGCCCUUUAGUACUAAACUCUGGAAAAGCCCAUCUGAAACAAAACCCAAGGAAAGUACCUCAGUAUCCAGUUCUGAGGCAUUUGGAAAAUCAGGGGUGAUAAUAAAAAUUCCAGCAAUUAUUUCACAAAGCACCGAGUUGCACGCUAAACCGGGAAGAUUUACUGUCUUGGUUUCUGGGUUGGAAAUCAGUGACUCUAAUUCUCAACUUUUGCAUAGAUUUGAAAGGGAAGAUGUAGAUGACAUUAAAGUUCAUACCCCUUACGAAAUCAGUAUACGCCAGAGAUUUAUCGGUAAGCCAGACACGGCCUAUCGACUAUUGUCGGCAAAGAUGCCGGAGGUUAUCCAAAUUUUGGAAGUGCAAUUCAGCAAGAAAAUCGAGUUUUUAGAAGAUGCGAUGGUGUUCCAAAGCACACGAGACUCGCCACCAGCAGAGAAGGGCAGUGCCAUCUGGCGGGCAGCAUCUGGGCUAAUAGAAAGUGUGGUGCACCCUGGACCUUCCCUCAGAAGUGGAGAAAGCAGUCAGAUCCAGUUACAAGUGAAUGAGCAGGUUUCUGAGGAAGAAGCUCAAGAACUAAGACAGAUCUUGAAGAAACUGAAGAGCAUUGCUCUAGAAACUGAGACAGAACUCGAGAGGCAAGAUGAAGUUCUUGAUGGCCUGACCUCCUCCGUGGAGCGCACGACCCUGACUAUCGAUAAGCAGAAUCGUAGGAUGAAGAAGCUGCUCUAGAACUUCAGGCGGAGAACCGGUGGUUUGGUGGUAACAUGAAACUCUCAGGAGACACAAGUGACUCUAUUUUUUAGAAUAAGUGAUUAUCUUAAUGUGUUGUUCUCUCAUUGUUUCUGUAGUCUUCAUUUAUAGAGAAGACACCGUGGAAUAAUUUCCAGGAUUGGAUGCAUGUUUGGAAGCCUUCUCCCAGGAGCAGAAGAAGCAGAAACUUUAAUCAUGGUGUAGUGGUUGAAGUCAGCUAUCUGUCGCUAAGACUCUUUACAGACAGUGUGGUUCAGGGGUCUUGAGGACUUUCACUAAAGAGAUUCCCAUGCACUGAAGGAGAAGUUGUAGAUUUUUUUUCUUUUUGGAGGGGGAACUUUAGUUAAAAAAAAAAAAGAAAGAAAGAACAACUUCUUUUUUCUGUGUGAAAGCCUCAGUGCUUUAGGCUCUUUCAGUGUGUGAGCUUGUGUGGUGCAUUUGUUUGUUUGUUUUCCUGGAAUGGAAAUUGGAUCCCUGGUUUUGAUGCUAACUAGGUAAGUGACUAUGGGCAAGUCACAUAGUCCCCUUAGGCCUUAGUUUACUCAAUUAUGAGAAAAACUACCAGUAAGAAAAUUGGACUAACUUAUCCUUAAGAUCCCUUCCAGUCUACCAUUCUAUUACAUCUGUGAGAGAAAAAAAAUACUUCUACCUGUUUAGUGAAAUAGAGAUGGAGUACAGAAGCAUUCUUGCUUCUGGAUACUGUAUUAAAACUCUGGGGAAGCCAUAGGUGUGAUGUUUAACACAAAGUGCCAAAUGCAGAAAUUCCAUUUUAAAUAAUUUUGUGUAGUUUCUAAGUAAUUCACAUAUCAGCUUCUUGGGGUUUCCCUCUUUUAGAUGUUAGUGCAACAAACAAAAUUGACAGUUGCUGUAUUUGAAUUAUUGCAGCCUCUUCUACUAAACUUCAAAGAUGAGGUAGGUUUUUGAAAGUUGAUUGUGUUUUAAUCAGAAGAGGAAAAUUAAAGCUCUCCAGAAAGAAGUCAUUCUGCCUUUUUGAGUACAGGUAUACCCUGUUUAAAUACAACCUAUUGCUUGGUUGCAUAUUAAGCUCUGAAUAUUUUUCUUAAAAGCUUUCAAAUGAAUUCCCUUCCAACCCUUGAAAACCUAGUGCUCCUUACAGUGCCUGUACCUGAGGGAGAUCAUUCCCUUUGGGACUUUAAAACACUGCAGAGGCUGCUUGGGCAUUAAUCACAUAUAUUCCCUGUUAGAUGUGGAAAUUAAUUGACUCCAUUUCUUUCUUGAUGGUUUUCUUUGAUAGAGUAGGUUUAUGAAAUUGUGCCAACGGACUGUUCUAUUUUUCUUUUUAAUUUUACUGCAGUUUUCUAGCUGAGAACACCUCCAGGAUAUCUUAUAAACACCUUAAAUUUUCAUUUACUGCCCAGUUCUUUAGCCAAAAAUAAAAAAGAGGCAGCUAGUUAUGUAGUGUAUUUUAAAAACUCAUGUUGGUCUUUGUUUUUACUGCCUCAUUUCUAGCCAGAAUUGAAAGAAAACUUCUAUAUGUAGUGUACUUUUCAAAACCUGUAUUGAUUUUGGGGGGUUUGAUUUGUGUGUUUCAGUUAGCAGACCAGAAGUUAACACUUUCUCUUCCUGGUAAGAAUUACUCUUGAAACAAAGCUCUUUGUGGUCUACAAACUCCAUUCUGGAGGUGGGGGUUAGGAUGGGGUUGCGAAGUGUAAUGAAAAGUAGAUUUGUUUCUGGAUAUCAUUCCUUCAUAAUCACUGUUUUUAUCUUCUCAUCACGUAUACCACUAAUGAUUUAUUACCAUUUUAAAAAUAUUUUACUUUCAGACUCUUGAAAUAAUAUAAUGAAGAAAUAUCUUUAGGCAUAUUAUCAAGACAACUUUUUUUGGAAAUGCUGGUGUUUGGGGAUUAAUUUUUAUUCCAUUAACAAGUGUAAAAGGGUUGUUACAACUUGUUAUGAAAAAAUUGGAGGUGUGUUGAAGUCAUCAUUUAGACAACUGUUGAUAUUGGCAACAACCCAACACGCCAUAUCAGUUUAGGUUGUGGCACUUUAUGUUUGCAUACUUGGUACCUUGAUGAUUUUCCUAAAGACUACUGAAAAAUUGUGGAUAGAAGAAUGAUGCUACCAUGUUGAUCACCUUGGUGGAAGGCUGACAUUCUACCUCCAGAAAGCAUAGAAGGUAAUCAUCUCAGAAGCGAGGCUUCACAAUUCCAGAAGUUGUUCUUUAAGUCCUUUAUGUUUCAUUCAGGCCAUACCUAGCUUUCCCUCCCAAAGUUAGAAUUGGGCCUCCUGGAAUAAAGCCCAACUUAUUUCAAAGGCUCUUUUUUUCCAGGAUGGUCUUAUGAAUAAUAAUGUCUUUUUGGAGCAUUUUCCUUGGACAAUUAUAGAAUUUGGUGAGCUUUGUGGAGCUUAGGACUACUCAUUUUAGAGGUUCAUAACAUUUUAGCUUAGUUCUAUGUAAAUAUUUGAAUCUCUUCAUACCAUUAAGCACUGUAGCUUCCAUCCAUAUCCCUUUGGAGAAGAUAUGAUAAGUCAGACCUACCCUCAAACCAAGGUAUUUUUCUUACCACAUAUUAGAGUAUGUAGUUUUCUUUAGUGUGCUAAAAAGAUAGGCAACAUACCAUGUACAUAAAUUAUUGUGCUAGAUUUGGAGGAGGUCACAAAAAAAAGGAAUAGAGGCCCUGCCCUCACGGAGCUUGCACCUAAGAGGUGAGACAUCACAAGAUGUUGACAAUACAAAAUAGCAUAGAAGUACCCACAGAGUUGAAUCAACAAUUAGUCCCACAUGCCUUCGGAGAAGGUGAGACACUUCUGUUAAUCAACAAUGGAUGUCAAGAGAACAAUCAUAAAAUUAAUACCAAAAUUUACAGACCACCUUAGCUUUCUGCCCCUCUUCUCAGCUGGAGCUUGCCCGGAAGAAUCAUUAUCUCCGUGAGCUAUGGCCACUCCCCAGCUGGGACUGCUACCAUGACAAGCCUGUAUGCAGGCUCUGUUAGCAGUUCCUGCUUCGGGCAUUUAUAGCAUGAGUCAGCAGGGCAUAGUGGACAGGAGACUAGACUUUAGGUUCACAAGAUCUGGGUUUGAAUCUCACUCAGCCUAGGCACGUCAUUUCCCUUCUCUCAGCCUCAGUUUUGUCAUCUGUAAAAUGGGGGUAGUAAUACCUGUAACAUAACCCAUGUCUGUUAUGAGGAUCAAAUAAGAAAGGAUGUUUAUAAAGUACUUUGCAAAUCCUAAAAUUUUUUAUAAAUGUUAGCUAUAACAUGCACACAAGUACAUACACAUACACAGUAUGUACUAUGUAUUUAUGUUUGCAUACAUUUGUAAAAAAUCAGGAUAACCAUUCUAACAUGAGACUACAAAGGCAGGACCCCCGAAAGAAACUAGGAAAAAAAUACUUUAAUGUUCUUCCAGCAGGCUAUGAUUCUAUUUUGUAUUGAAACAGUCAGUUUACAUGAUAGAUGUGGAAUGAUAUCAUAGAAAUGUUGUAAAUAAUCGAUGUUGAUAUAAUCCCUAUCUAUCAGAUUAGUAGAGGAAGGAAUCAUAAUGCCUCCUUACUUUUAUAUGGAGCUUUCCAAUUUUGAGAACUUUUUCAUAUGUUAACUCAUGAUUUUCACAUCAGUGCUAUGAGGCAGGGAAGGUAGUAUUGUCUCAGUUUUACAGAUGUGUUUCCUUUCAUUUAGAAAAAUUCUGGCAUACCCAAGGCAGCAUCUCUAGGGAUAUAAUUGUGACGAGGACUAAAUUUUCUGACUCUAAGGCAGCGAGUAUUGGAGACAGUUAGAAGAACAUAUGUAACUCCUGCAAACCCUUUGUCAGGCUAAAUGCUGACAAGGAUUGACAAAUGCCAAAAUCUAGUGUCUUACACAGACCUCUUAGCCAGUAUUCCUGUAUUGCACCCGUUUGUUUUCUCUUGAUCCCCCUUGAUGAGGAUCAGAAAAACCUUUAUUUCUAAAAAAGGUCAUGUUAUUAGGCAGAUGCUGUUCAAAUUUACUACUGCUGCACAUCCUGUGGUCAUUUGUUUACUCUUAGAUGUCCUGAUUUCAAGAAGACAAAUUUAGAUAUGUGUGCAAUGAUUCCCUGGCAUGUUUCAGUUCUUUAUGUGUAGCUACUACUCAGGGGAAAGCUUUCAAAAGUUGUACCCCAAGUUAUUGCUCUGCUUUCUUCUCACUCGUAACCCUUCCAUGUAACUUCUUCACUACAAUUACUUAGAUUGCUGUAGACUGCAAGCAGAUAAAUGCUAGACUUAACUUCCAUACAAAAAGAAAGAGAAUUCCAGGGUAAGAACUGUUUACAAUGAAAAAUAGCAUCAGUCAAACUCAGAGACUGAACAUACUUUUAAGUUUAAAGUGCUAACUAGGCCCAGUCAUAGUAUUAUGGAAUCAGCUGCUGCUCUUGGCAUUGCUACCUCAGAUUUAAAAGUAGCCAUUGUAUAUUAGCUUAGCUUACCCUGGUAUUGCCUGAACUGACUUCUUGUAGUUUAACCUCUUAACUUUAACCCAAAUCUUUGUCUGUGAAGGAAGAAGAUUCAUUACUAGUUCUGUCCCAAAAUUAGUAUGCUUCUGGUCAAAAUCUAUUGAUAUUGCAAUGUAAACUUAUCAGUCCCGAAGUUGCCCUCUUAGUAAAAGUCUCAGCUAAUAAAUUAGAAUGUAUAAAUAACUUGUCCCAGAAACCUUGAUUGCUUCUCAGCUUCCUUGUUUAUAGCUUGUUUUCUGGAUGCUUCAUUGAGUUUUCCUCGAGAAUCUUAGAAUCUCAUAUUGGGAAGGAAUAUCAGAAGUCAUCUAGUACAACUUGAACAAGAGACUCCUAUAACAUCCCUGAAAAGUAGUCAUCCAGCCUUUGCAUGAAGACCUCUAGUGACAAGGGAACUUGCUGUGUUCUGAAGUAUCCCACCUCACUUUUGGGUGGCUCCAAUUGCUGAGCCAUUUUUCAUGACAUCAGAUUUAAAUUUGUGUCUUUGCAGCUUCCAUCCAUUGUUCCUGGUUCUGCUUCCUGGGCCCAAUUAGAAGAGGGCUGAUCCUUUUUUUACAUGACGGCUCUUCAGAUUCUUGAAGGCAGAGAUCUUCCCUCCCCCUGAGCCUUCUCUUUUUAUUUAAGCUCAAUAACCCCAAUUGCUUCAACCAGUUCUCAUAUAUGUAGUGUGAUCUUGAGGCCUUUCACCAUCCUAGACUUCUUGGUCUGUGUGCAUCAGCCAGGAGGAAGUGUCCAGAGAAUACAGAGUGGAGUGAGGGGUGGUGACUGAGGCUUUUCUGAAAUUGUGGUCCAGAAGAGGCAGUCAUUGUUCAGGACAUUGGGGCUUUGGGGUGGACUUUUUCUCUGGAGUAGCAAGGCAGUUAGGGAGGCUAUGGAUGAGCUGCCUGAGGAAUAGGGAGUAAAGAUGGUUUCCAGGCUCCUCUUCCUGAGUUCUGCUGCAUUCCUUCCAUUCUUCACUGGCUUUCAGAGGCAGUCAUGCCUGUCAUUUCUCCCACUGCCCUGGGAUAAAGUUUGUCUGGGUCUAGUAUCUUGAGCUUAUUCAGGCAUCUAAAUACUUCUUUCUAUCUCCCUACUUAUCUUUGGUGUCAGCUCCCUAUUAUCCCUUUUGUGCCAUCCAUGGCAGAAAAUAGAACAGAACAGGAACAAAAGAGUUGAAAUAAUUUUGACUUUUCCCAUAGCUCUGCACGCCCUGGAUCACAUGUCCAUUCUGCCCUUCCACUGCCCUGCUACCGCUACCACCCUUUCUUAUCCAGACCACUAGAGACCAGGAACAGGAAGAGCAGAAACCACUCAGGAAGCCUCUGCAUCCUUUGUCACCAUAUCUUUAUCUUUAUCCUGGUUGUUUUCUGCCCUGCCACCAUGGGGGUACUUCUCUUCUCCCUUUCCAUCUUUUGCUCUGCACAUUGUAAUCAAACAAACAAUACCGUUGUCUUUGGAAAGAGAAUGUCAGUGGACUGCCUUCUCAUUCCACUUACCAUCUUCAUGACUUCCCACAUCAGAUCCCCCUCAGAAACUGCUCCCUGAAUGUGUUGUCUCCCUCUGUUAGAAUGUAAGGGUGAGUAAACAUGUCCUUGUAUCUCCAGUGCUUAGCACAGUGCUUCACACAUGGUGAGGGCUUAGUAGGGCUGAAUUUCUGUGUGGAGUUUUAGGUCAUUGAAUCCUACCUGUCCUUUCUCUGAAUCCUUUGAAAAUUAUCUCCUAAAAUCUAGAAUAAAUAGCAAACUGUGCCCAAGUUUCCUUUUGUAAACUAAUGAUGUGGAGUGACCACUUUUCACCAAGACUCCCAUUAUCUCUACUUCAGCAACGAGUUCCUCGUGGUUGGUGAGAAUCAGGUUCAGAAUGGCCUUUCCCUUCAUUGUGUCUUGUUCCUUUUAAAGGAUGAAAAUACUGUGAAAGGAAGCCAAGAAAUUAACUGCUCUGCUUUUGGCAGAGAGAAGGAGAGUUCUAUCACAUGUCCAGAUAAUUAAAGGCUCUCCUCACUACUAUGUUAUAUUACCAUACCAAGCUUGUGAUCUGUUUCCCAAAAUCCUCAUCUAUUUCCCUUUCUUGACUUAUUGGUCAGUAGUAUAUUCUGAUAACAAUAUCAGUUGUAUUUUUUUUAAUCAAUUGAUAAUUUACUCAAAUGUUUUCUACUCCUUAUUCCCAUUUUCUGGCUCUUAUAUCUCUUCACGUGUCUUUUUUAUGGUAUUUUACCAUCUCUGUUGAGUACUUUGUUCUUUUUAAAUGAAUUAUGUACUUCCAGAGCUGUAUGCUAGUCAUGGGCCCCAUCUUAGUGACCCGUGAAAUCAAUUCUGUCUUCUGUUAAGAUCCCUUGCUCACUUUAUUAUCUAUAUUUUAUGCAUUCAUAUAUUUUACUACUGAUUUAUUUCAUGGAUUUUGUCUCCUGUAAAUUCAUUGGGCAAUUGUUAUUUUUCUUUUUGUUGAUCACAGUUGUUCUUUAUGGUAUUUCUUGGUGAUCUCUCUGUCUCUCUCUCUCUCCCCCCCAUCUUCUUUUUUCUCACCCUCUCUUUCUCUUCCCUCGGUCCUCAGUUUCUUGCCUAAGACUUCAGAAUCCUUAGCAGUGCUUCUUAAAUUUCUUUCAACAGUAUCAUUAUCUUCCACAUGCAUCGCAAGUGGGUAGUGGUCAUUAGGUCUGAUAAGUCUUACAAGGGGGACAAGUUUCUGUAAUGCAAUAGACAUGUGCCACAAGAAGACCAUGGACCUGUCCUCUAAGAAACAAAGAUAGGCUGUAGCCUUCUUUGUUUAUAGAAAAAAAUUCUGGUGACCCACGACUUCAUCUUUGAAAAGGAGUUGUAUGUUGUUAAUAACAGGACUCUGUGUCCUUACUGAUAGAUGCUGAAUACCGUAGCUAAAGGAGAUCAGGUUAAUUACUUCUAAAAAAAAAUACCGUUCUUCCUUUCCUUUCAUCUUUACUUCUCUUCCCUGACUUCACAAAAAAGAAGCAGCAUUAAAUGACACCUUAAGUAUCUUACUACGAAUCUUUGUCCUAAGAGUCAUAAACACUAUAGGUUUCCUGCAGAGGUCAGGAAAGCACCCUGAAGUAGUGGUCGGUUUAAGGAUGCCUCUUCAGAGAAUGCCAUUGCAGAGUUGGGAUGAUAACACUUGAACUACUAUUCUGACUUCACAGAUUAUGAAAGAACUGCACGGCAAAUCUUAAAGUUCUAUGUAGAUGUGAAUUGCUAUUACCAUGCUAGAGGGUCCUAGAAUGGGAAGGCAUCUCAUGAGGUAAUAAGAGAUCGUUCAUUUUGGACCUGGAACAAAGAACUGGAAACAAAGGAGGUACUCAACAAUUUGGGAAUGGCUACACAAAUUUCGGUGCAGCAUAAAACAGUAAGCGCGAAGAAUUUGAAGAAGCAUGGGAAGGUGGUGCAAAUUGACUUAUAGGAACCAAUGGAAAAAUUAAAACAAGUGUAACAAUGUAAAUGA
This is an RNA transcript of Vombatus ursinus (common wombat), 9415 nucleotides long. It is a transcript of the gene named synaptosome associated protein 47, with no coding region annotated. Lineage: Eukaryota; Metazoa; Chordata; Mammalia; Diprotodontia; Vombatidae. The transcript is spliced from 7 exons. The record is from RefSeq and is a predicted model, not a curated record.